This 272-nucleotide ribosomal RNA is filed under the name Babesia canis canis. Its description in RNAcentral is "partial small subunit ribosomal RNA". It matches the Rfam family "Eukaryotic small subunit ribosomal RNA", at positions 559 to 881 of the family's 1831-position model. Lineage: Eukaryota; Apicomplexa; Aconoidasida; Piroplasmida; Babesiidae. The record is from RNAcentral.
GUCUGGUGCCAGCAGCCGCGGUAAUUCCAGCUCCAACAGCGUAUAUUAAACUUGUUGCAGUUAAAAAGCUCGUAGUUGUAUUUUUGCGUUGACGGUUUGACCAUUUGGUUGGUUAUUUCGUUUUCGCUUUUGGGAAUUUCCCUUUUUACUUUGAGAAAAUUAGAGUGUUUCAAGCAGACUUUUGUCUUGAAUACUUCAGCAUGGAAUAAUAGAGUAGGACUUUGGUUCUAUUUUGUUGGUUAUUGAACCUUAGUAAUGGUUAAUAGGAACGG